ACCUGCGGAAGGAUCAUUGUCGUGUCCCUGAACAAAACAGACCGCGAACAUGUCAUCUAAGCUGCUGGGUUGAUGGGUCGUGUACCUUUCUCCCGGUCUUGUCCACCAACCUUUUUACCAAGGUAUGGUGCAAAAAGAACCCACGGCGCUGUAUGGCGUCAAGGAAACAUAAUAUUUGCCUUGCUUGGGAUGGUGGUCGGCUUCCUGGACACACCCCUUGCACUGAUGCUAAGGAAAUUCACAUGACUCUCGGCAACGGAUAUCUCGGCUCUUGCAUCGAUGAAGAACGUAGCAAAAUGCGAUACUUGGUGUGAAUUGCAGAAUCCCGUGAACCAUCGAGUUUUUGAACGCAAGUUGCGCCCAAUGCCUUUGGGCUGAGGGCACGUCUGCUUGGGCGUCACGUCAAAAGACACUCCACACCAUACUUAGUGUGGAUGUGGUGUUUGGCCCUUCUUCCAGAUUGGUAUGGAGGGCUAAAGAUACGGCUUCCGGCAGUGCCGAUCACAACACUUGGUGGAUGACAUAAGUUGUUCUCAUUGUUAUGAUCUGGACAACUCCUUGUCAUAUGAUGGCCCUUUGAACCCAUGGUUUGGAGCGAAAGUAGCUUGAAUUGCGACCCCAGGUCAGUCGGGACUACCCGCUGAAUUUAAGCAUAUCAAUAAGCGG
RNAcentral lists this ribosomal RNA (666 nucleotides) under Microchloa altera. RNAcentral describes it as "eukaryotic LSU rRNA". The stretch from base 245 to 400 matches the Rfam family "5.8S ribosomal RNA". The record is from RNAcentral. Lineage: Eukaryota; Viridiplantae; Streptophyta; Magnoliopsida; Poales; Poaceae.